RNAcentral lists this ribosomal RNA (253 nucleotides) under uncultured bacterium. RNAcentral's name for it is "partial 16S ribosomal RNA". It matches the Rfam family "Bacterial small subunit ribosomal RNA", at positions 524 to 776 of the family's 1533-position model. The record is from RNAcentral.
GACGAACCGUGCGAACGUUGUUCGGAUUCACUGGGCUUAAAGGGCGCGUAGGCGGGUCAGCAAGUCCGGGGUGAAAGCUUUCGGCUCAACCGGAAAAGGGCCUUGGAUACUGCUGGUCUGGAGGAAGGUAGGGGCGUGUGGAACUUCCGGUGGAGCGGUGAAAUGCGUUGAUAUCCGAAGGAACGCCGGUGGCGAAAGCGACGUGCUGGAUCUCUUCUGACGCUGAGGCGCGAAAGCCAGGGUAGCGAACGGG